GAUGAAGAACGUAGCGAAAUGCGAUAAGUAAUGUGAAUUGCAGAAUUCAGUGAAUCAUCGAAUCUUUGAACGCACAUUGCGCCCCCUGGUAUUCCGGGGGGCAUGCCUGUUCGAGCGUCAUUUCACCACUCAAGCCUCGCUUGGUAUUGGGCAACGCGGUCCGCCGCGUGCCAAAUCGACCGGCUGGGUCUUCUGUCCCCUAAGCGUUGUGGAAACUUUCGCUAAAGGGUGUUCGGGAGGCUACGCCGUAAAACAACCCCAUUUCUAAGGUUGACCUCGGAUCAGGUAGGGAUACCCGCUGAACUUAAGCAUAUCAAUAAGCGGAGGA
RNAcentral lists this unclassified non-coding RNA (328 nucleotides) under soil metagenome. RNAcentral describes it as "partial contains 5.8S ribosomal RNA, internal transcribed spacer 2, and large subunit ribosomal RNA". The stretch from base 1 to 120 matches the Rfam family "5.8S ribosomal RNA", at positions 35 to 154 of the family's 154-position model. The record is from RNAcentral.